This 468-nucleotide ribosomal RNA is filed under the name uncultured bacterium. Its description in RNAcentral is "partial 16S ribosomal RNA". It matches the Rfam family "Bacterial small subunit ribosomal RNA", at positions 28 to 507 of the family's 1533-position model. The record is from RNAcentral.
GACGAACGCUGGCGGCGUGCUUAACACAUGCAAGUCGAACGGAAAGGCCCUGCUUUUGUGGGGUGCUCGAGUGGCGAACGGGUGAGUAACACGUGAGUAACCUGCCCUUGACUUUGGGAUAACUUCAGGAAACUGGGGCUAAUACCGGAUAGGAGCUCCUGCUGCAUGGUGGGGGUUGGAAAGUUUCGGCGGUUGGGGAUGGACUCGCGGCUUAUCAGCUUGUUGGUGGGGUAGUGGCUUACCAAGGCUUUGACGGGUAGCCGGCCUGAGAGGGUGACCGGCCACGUGGGGAGGGGGGUACGGCCGGGCCUCGUAGGGGAGGCAGGGGGGGGAAAUGGUGCACAGGGGGGGGGGGCCGGGUGCGGCAACGCCGGGGGCGGGAUGAGGGCCUGCGGGUGAGAAACCGUUUUCUCCGGGAAGGGGGGGUGAGGGACGGUAAUGGGUAAAGAAGCCCGGGAUAACUCCGUG